ACACGCAUGACACACUGCAUAUCAAUAAGCGGAGGAAAAGAAACUAACAAGGAUUCCCUUAGUAACGGCGAGUGAAGCGGGAAGAGCUCAAAUUUGAAAUCUUAAAGGGUUUCCCUUUACGAAUUGUAGUUUAAAGAAGUGUUUUCUGUUGGAGUUUCGGUAAAAGUUCUUUGGAAUAGGACAUCAUAGAGGGUGAGAAUCCCGUAUUUGACCGUUACUUUCCAGCUGUGUGAUACACUUUCAAAGAGUCGGAUUGUUUGGGAAUGCAGUCCAAAAUGGGUGGUAAAUUUCAUCUAAAGCUAAAUAUUGGCGAGAGACCGAUAGCGAACAAGUACCGUGAGGGAAAGAUGAAAAGAACUUUGAAAAGAGAGUUAAACAGUACGUGAAAUUGUCAAAAGGGAAGCGUUUGACACCAGUGUUGUUUAGUUGAAAAUCAAUUCAAUAAUUUUUGAUUUUGAGUAGUAUUGACUUCAUCAGCUUGCUGCUUUCUUUUCCGAAAUUAUUGAAUGCACUUUUCAGUUAACAAGUCAACAUCAAUUUCUUUUGUUGUAAAAGGGUAAGAGGAAGGUGGCUUACGCUUCGGCGUAAGUGUUUAUAGCCUUUUACCUCUGCAAUCGGAGAGAUUGAGGACAGCAGCGUAGACUCCUUCGGGGGUUAGAUACACUUGUGCUAAGCUAUAGCCUUGUAUAGACAACUUGUUGACUAUGCUCAGUCAUGUAGCUUACUCGCUUAUGCUAUUUUACCUACGCUUAGGAUGUUGACUGAUAUGUAGUCGUA
This 777-nucleotide ribosomal RNA is filed under the name uncultured Neocallimastigales. RNAcentral describes it as "partial large subunit ribosomal RNA". It matches the Rfam family "Eukaryotic large subunit ribosomal RNA", at positions 23 to 644 of the family's 3401-position model. Lineage: Eukaryota; Fungi; Neocallimastigomycota; Neocallimastigomycetes; Neocallimastigales. The record is from RNAcentral.